Molecule: long non-coding RNA, 289 nt
Filed under: Elaeis guineensis (African oil palm)
Lineage: Eukaryota; Viridiplantae; Streptophyta; Magnoliopsida; Arecales; Arecaceae
Description: long non-coding RNA (EGUI_LNC018933)
Source: RNAcentral
GCGGUAGAAGUUCGACUGAAAUUCGAAAGGCGAUCGACCACCAUAGAAACUUGGAUAGAGUCAGGUCACUGUAGAAGUCCUACUGCUGAAGAAGCUCGAUCAUCGACGAAGUCCGAAAGGAGUUCGGAGUAAAGUCGAUCGUGGCUGAGAGAAGUCUGAAAAAGAUUCGGAGAAUAGUCGAUCACUGUAGAGAAUCGGAUGAAAGUGAAGCUUAGAGAGCAUUUGGAGCAAUCCGGUAGAUGAAUAGAGGAGCCCAUUAUUGGAGAAGUCCGAAUGGUAUUAUGGAAGC